Podarcis lilfordi (Lilford's wall lizard) is the source of this 72-nucleotide non-coding RNA. Lineage: Eukaryota; Metazoa; Chordata; Lepidosauria; Squamata; Lacertidae. The record is from the annotation of a GenBank genome assembly.
ACCUGGGAUAGCUCAGUUGGGAGAACAUGAGACUUAAUCUCAGGGUUGUGGGUUUGAGCCCAACAUUGGGGA